GGCUCGGUAGCUUAGUUGGUGAAGCACUUGUCUAGCGAAUAAGGGUCGUGAGUUCAAAUUUCACCAGAGCUG
Aedes albopictus (Asian tiger mosquito) is the source of this 72-nucleotide non-coding RNA. The record is from Rfam. Lineage: Eukaryota; Metazoa; Arthropoda; Insecta; Diptera; Culicidae.